ACAGAAACAAACUUUUCAACAGAGAUCCCGACGACACACUGAGCGACUACACUACUCACAACCACAAGGGCCGGCAGAGAGACAGAGAAACACAGGUCAGUGAAGGCUGUUUGCGGGGGAAUGUCUGUUCCACUGCAGGCUCGCAUCCGUGACUUCCUCUGCAGCUCAGUCUUUAGACACACAGAGACAUGGGGCAGAGAGCUCAGCAGAGCCGCUCUGCCUGCCAGACCUCAAACUGCAGCCUGCAGCUGCACUGACCAGCACUGGGCUGGGGGAGGGAUGGAGGGACAGGAGAGCCGAAUGGGAGAGUGAAGAUGUGAGGAGAGAGAGGAGAGCAGAAUGGGAGAGUGAAGAUGUGAGGAGAG
This is a long non-coding RNA of Oncorhynchus kisutch (coho salmon), 365 nucleotides long. RefSeq lists it as uncharacterized. NCBI's taxonomy places the organism in Eukaryota, Metazoa, Chordata, Actinopteri, Salmoniformes, Salmonidae. The record is from RefSeq and is a predicted model, not a curated record. The transcript is spliced from 3 exons.